This 600-nucleotide ribosomal RNA is filed under the name Geosmithia cnesini. Its description in RNAcentral is "eukaryotic LSU rRNA". It matches the Rfam family "Eukaryotic large subunit ribosomal RNA", at positions 1 to 599 of the family's 3401-position model. The record is from RNAcentral. Lineage: Eukaryota; Fungi; Ascomycota; Sordariomycetes; Hypocreales; Bionectriaceae.
ACUUUUUCAAGGUUGACCUCGGAUCAGGUAGGAAUACCCGCUGAACUUAAGCAUAUCAAUAAGCGGAGGAAAAGAAACCAACAGGGAUUGCCUUAGUAACGGCGAGUGAAGCGGCAACAGCUCAAAUUUGAAAUCUGGCCCCCAGGCCCGAGUUGUAAUUUGUAGAGGAUGCUUCUGGCGACGCGCCUUCCGAGUUCCCUGGAACGGGACGCCAAAGAGGGUGAGAGCCCCGUCCGGUCGUGCGCCUAGCCUCUGUGAAGCUCCUUCGACGAGUCGAGUAGUUUGGGAAUGCUGCUCUAAAUGGGAGGUAUACGUCUUCUAAAGCUAAAUACCGGCCAGAGACCGAUAGCGCACAAGUAGAGUGAUCGAAAGAUGAAAAGCACUUUGAAAAGAGGGUUAAAUAGUACGUGAAAUUGCUGAAAGGGAAGCGCUUAUGACCAGACUUGGGCUUGGUGAAUCAUCCGGCGUUCUCGCCGGUGCACUUUGCCUGUCCAGGCCAGCAUCAGUUCGCUUCGGGGGAUAAAGGUUUCGGGAAUGUAGCUCCCUCGGGAGUGUUAUAGACCGUUGCGUAAUACCCUGGGGUGGACUGAGGUACGCGUU